GAUGAACGUUGGCGGCGUGGAUUAGGCAUGCGAGUCGCGCGAGAAUCGUAGCAAUACGAGGAAAGCGGCGAAAGGGAGAGGAAUACGUAGAAAUCUGCCCUCGGGACUGGGAUAGCGGCGGGAAACUGCCGGUAAUACCAGAUAACGUCUUCGGACCAAAGGUGUGAUUCCGCCUGAGGAUGAGUCUACGAGCUAUUAGCUUGUUGGCGGGGUAAUGGCCCACCAAGGCGACGAUGGGUAGCAGGUGUGAGAGCACGACCUGCCUCAUUGGGACUGAGACACUGCGCAGACACCUACGGGUGGCUGCAGUCGAGAAUCUUCGGCAAUGGACGAAAGUCUGACCGAGCGACGCCGCGUGCGGGAUGAAGGCCUUCGGGUUGUAAACCGCUGUCGUAGGGAACCAAAUUCAUGGGGGUUCUCCCCUGUGAUUGAGAGAACCUAGGAGGAAGGAGAGGCUAAGCUCGUGCCAGCAGCCGCCGUAA
Molecule: ribosomal RNA, 482 nt
Filed under: uncultured bacterium
Lineage: Bacteria
Description: partial 16S ribosomal RNA
Rfam family: Bacterial small subunit ribosomal RNA
Source: RNAcentral